Molecule: ribosomal RNA, 245 nt
Filed under: uncultured bacterium
Lineage: Bacteria
Description: partial small subunit ribosomal RNA
Rfam family: Bacterial small subunit ribosomal RNA
Source: RNAcentral
AGAAUCAACGCUGGCGGCGUGCCUAACACAUGCAAGUCGAACGAGAAAGGGUAGCAAUACCUGAGUAAAGUGGCGCACGGGUGAGUAACACGUGACUAACCUACCCUGGAGUGGGGGAUAACUGAGGGAAACCUUAGCUAAUACCGCAUAACACCUACGGGUCAAAGGAGCAAUUCGCUUCAGGAGGGGGUCGCGGCCGAUUAGUUAGUUGGCGGGAUAAUGGCCCACCAAGACAGUGAUCGGUA